AUGUACCGGGGCUAAGCAUAUUACCGAAACUGUGGAUGCGUAAGCAUGGUAGGAUAGCGUAAUUAACGCGAUGAAGGAUGACCGUAAGGACAUGUUGGAGCGUUAACUAGUGAGAAUUCCGGUAUGAGUAGCGAAAGAUAGGUGAGAAUCCUAUCCACCGAAUGAGUAAGGUUUCCCCCGGAAGGCUCGUCCGCGGGGGGUUAGUCGGGACCUAAGGCGAGGCUGAAAAGCGUAGUCGAUGGACAACAGGUUGAUAUUCCUGUACCGAUAUUUAAUUGCCGAAGGAAGGACGCAGAAGGAUAACACAGGCCACUAUUGGAUGUGGUUUUAAACAGUUAGUCUUCAUAAGAGUCAAAUGCUUUUAUGUUUAAGGAUAAGCUGUGAAUGUACCAAGUUUACUUGGAAAUUGUGUGAUUUCACGCUGCUGAAAAAAGUUUCGUAGGAAGAAAAUAUUGCYCGUACCGCAAACCGACAC
This 475-nucleotide ribosomal RNA is filed under the name Oenococcus oeni. Its description in RNAcentral is "bacterial LSU rRNA". It matches the Rfam family "Bacterial large subunit ribosomal RNA", at positions 1171 to 1660 of the family's 2925-position model. Lineage: Bacteria; Bacillati; Bacillota; Bacilli; Lactobacillales; Lactobacillaceae. The record is from RNAcentral.